GCAGGUCAUUGUGCUGACUCGACUCAUACAAACCCCCAUCUGGACGCAGUCCAAACACCAGAUGUGCCCCCGAUUAGUGUCGGUCUGGGGAAUGUUUCCAUGACUGAAAGGCUGAAUGACAAGAGUGUGAUUUUCCACUUGGAAGAGACUCCAGGGGUGUGCAAAGAGGGAAGCCCUGCUGACCCAAUUCAGUAGACUGUGACACUUUAGCGACCUGCAAAUUCUACACAUUAGAGUUCAUAUUUUAUACAAAUUCUGUAUAAGCGAGAUGUGGACUUGCAUUUCCACCAGCAGUAUCCAACUUCCAGAGGCCCUGUCAGAAGAUGAAAGCUACUAAUGAAGACACAUCACAGGUGGUAUUUAUGGUCACCCCUUAGGGGAAAAAAGAUUCAUGAAUAAUUUCAUGGAAAUUAGAACAAAAAACCGAGCCAUAAUUUCCUCAA
Non-coding RNA from Marmota flaviventris (yellow-bellied marmot), 443 nucleotides. Lineage: Eukaryota; Metazoa; Chordata; Mammalia; Rodentia; Sciuridae. The record is from RefSeq and is a predicted model, not a curated record.